RNAcentral lists this transfer RNA (85 nucleotides) under Hypomontagnella monticulosa. Its description in RNAcentral is "tRNA-Arg". It matches the Rfam family "tRNA". From Rfam's summary of the family: Transfer RNA (tRNA) molecules are approximately 80 nucleotides in length. Their secondary structure includes four short double-helical elements and three loops (D, anti-codon, and T loops). The record is from RNAcentral. Lineage: Eukaryota; Fungi; Ascomycota; Sordariomycetes; Xylariales; Hypoxylaceae.
GGGCGCAUGGCCUAAUGGUAAGGCGUUAGAUUUCGGUUCCCAUGUCGACCUCUAAAGAUUGCAGGUUCGAUCCCUGCUGUGCUCG